UACAGAGGGUGCGAGCGUUAAUCGGAAUUACUGGGCGUAAAGCGUGCGUAGACGGUUAUGUAAGUCAGGUGUGAAAGCCCCGGGCUCAGCCUGGGAAUUGCAUUUGAGACUGCAUAGCUAGGGUGCGGAAGAGGGAAGCGGAAUUUCCGGUGUAGCGGUGAAAUGCGUAGAUAUCGGAAGGAACAUCAGUGGCGAAAGCACUCUGCUGGGCCGACACUGACACUGAGGCACGAAAGCUAGGGGAGCAAACAGG
RNAcentral lists this ribosomal RNA (253 nucleotides) under uncultured bacterium. RNAcentral describes it as "partial 16S ribosomal RNA". It matches the Rfam family "Bacterial small subunit ribosomal RNA", at positions 524 to 776 of the family's 1533-position model. The record is from RNAcentral.